RNAcentral lists this ribosomal RNA (1717 nucleotides) under Escherichia coli. Its description in RNAcentral is "partial 23S ribosomal RNA". It matches the Rfam family "Bacterial large subunit ribosomal RNA", at positions 433 to 2136 of the family's 2925-position model. The record is from RNAcentral. Lineage: Bacteria; Pseudomonadati; Pseudomonadota; Gammaproteobacteria; Enterobacterales; Enterobacteriaceae.
CCUGUCUGAAUAUGGGGGGACCAUCCUCCAAGGCUAAAUACUCCUGACUGACCGAUAGUGAACCAGUACCGUGAGGGAAAGGCGAAAAGAACCCCGGCGAGGGGAGUGAAAAAGAACCUGAAACCGUGUACGUACAAGCAGUGGGAGCCUCUUUAUGGGGUGACUGCGUACCUUUUGUAUAAUGGGUCAGCGACUUAUAUUCUGUAGCAAGGUUAACCGAAUAGGGGAGCCGAAGGGAAACCGAGUCUUAACUGGGCGUUAAGUUGCAGGGUAUAGACCCGAAACCCGGUGAUCUAGCCAUGGGCAGGUUGAAGGUUGGGUAACACUAACUGGAGGACCGAACCGACUAAUGUUGAAAAAUUAGCGGAUGACUUGUGGCUGGGGGUGAAAGGCCAAUCAAACCGGGAGAUAGCUGGUUCUCCCCGAAAGCUAUUUAGGUAGCGCCUCGUGAAUUCAUCUCCGGGGGUAGAGCACUGUUUCGGCAAGGGGGUCAUCCCGACUUACCAACCCGAUGCAAACUGCGAAUACCGGAGAAUGUUAUCACGGGAGACACACGGCGGGUGCUAACGUCCGUCGUGAAGAGGGAAACAACCCAGACCGCCAGCUAAGGUCCCAAAGUCAUGGUUAAGUGGGAAACGAUGUGGGAAGGCCCAGACAGCCAGGAUGUUGGCUUAGAAGCAGCCAUCAUUUAAAGAAAGCGUAAUAGCUCACUGGUCGAGUCGGCCUGCGCGGAAGAUGUAACGGGGCUAAACCAUGCACCGAAGCUGCGGCAGCGACGCUGAUGCGUUGUUGGGUAGGGGAGCGUUCUGUAAGCCUGCGAAGGUGUGCUGUGAGGCAUGCUGGAGGUAUCAGAAGUGCGAAUGCUGACAUAAGUAACGAUAAAGCGGGUGAAAAGCCCGCUCGCCGGAAGACCAAGGGUUCCUGUCCAACGUUAAUCGGGGCAGGGUGAGUCGACCCCUAAGGCGAGGCCGAAAGGCGUAGUCGAUGGGAAACAGGUUAAUAUUCCUGUACUUGGUGUUACUGCGAAGGGGGGACGGAGAAGGCUAUGUUGGCCGGGCGACGGUUGUCCCGGUUUAAGCGUGUAGGCUGGUUUUCCAGGCAAAUCCGGAAAAUCAAGGCUGAGGCGUGAUGACGAGGCACUACGGUGCUGAAGCAACAAAUGCCCUGCUUCCAGGAAAAGCCUCUAAGCAUCAGGUAACAUCAAAUCGUACCCCAAACCGACACAGGUGGUCAGGUAGAGAAUACCAAGGCGCUUGAGAGAACUCGGGUGAAGGAACUAGGCAAAAUGGUGCCGUAACUUCGGGAGAAGGCACGCUGAUAUGUAGGUGAAGCGACUUGCUCGUGGAGCUGAAAUCAGUCGAAGAUACCAGCUGGCUGCAACUGUUUAUUAAAAACACAGCACUGUGCAAACACGAAAGUGGACGUAUACGGUGUGACGCCUGCCCGGUGCCGGAAGGUUAAUUGAUGGGGUCAGCGCAAGCGAAGCUCUUGAUCGAAGCCCCGGUAAACGGCGGCCGUAACUAUAACGGUCCUAAGGUAGCGAAAUUCCUUGUCGGGUAAGUUCCGACCUGCACGAAUGGCGUAAUGAUGGCCAGGCUGUCUCCACCCGAGACUCAGUGAAAUUGAACUCGCUGUGAAGAUGCAGUGUACCCGCGGCAAGACGGAAAGACCCCGUGAACCUUUACUAUAGCUUGACACUGAACAUUGAGCCUUGAUG